UACAGAGGGGGCAAGCGUUGUUCGGAAUUAUUGGGCGUAAAGGGUGCGUAGGCGGUGCGGUAAGUCUUCUGUGAAAUCUCCGGGCUCAACUCGGAGCCUGCAGGAGAAACUGCCGUGCUUGAGUAUGGGAGAGGUGAGUGGAAUUCCUGGUGUAGCGGUGAAAUGCGUAGAUAUCAGGAGGAACACCUGUGGCGAAAGCGGCUCACUGGACCAUAACUGACGCUGAGGCACGAAAGCUAGGGGAGCAAACAGG
RNAcentral lists this ribosomal RNA (253 nucleotides) under uncultured bacterium. RNAcentral describes it as "partial 16S ribosomal RNA". It matches the Rfam family "Bacterial small subunit ribosomal RNA", at positions 524 to 776 of the family's 1533-position model. The record is from RNAcentral.